Molecule: ribosomal RNA, 268 nt
Filed under: uncultured prokaryote
Description: partial 16S ribosomal RNA
Rfam family: Bacterial small subunit ribosomal RNA
Source: RNAcentral
UACGUAGGUGGCGAGCGUUGUCCGGAUUUACUGGGCGUAAAGGGAGCGUAGGCGGACUUUUAAGUGAGAUGUGAAAUACCCGGGCUCAACUUGGGUGCUGCAUUUCAAACUGGAAGUCUAGAGUGCAGGAGAGGAGAAUGGAAUUCCUAGUGUAGCGGUGAAAUGCGUAGAGAUUAGGAAGAACACCAGUGGCGAAGGCGAUUCUCUGGACUGUAACUGACGCUGAGGUGCGAAAGCGUGGGUAGCAAACAGGAUUAGAUACCGUGUA